This is a non-coding RNA of Macaca mulatta (Rhesus monkey), 485 nucleotides long. Lineage: Eukaryota; Metazoa; Chordata; Mammalia; Primates; Cercopithecidae. The record is from RefSeq and is a predicted model, not a curated record.
AUCCUAGGGACAGCCCCGCAGCCCGCUCCCUUGGUGGGAGAUGAUCAGGAGAGCAAGAUGUUCUCGUGCUGCCUCCCCACAUCUUGAGGCUCCUGCUUCAGGAGGGCCCGGAGUGAGAGCCUUUUCUCACAAUGCCCACGCAGGCUCAUUCCUCAUCCCAGGCACCUGUGGCUGAAGGCACCCCCAGUGCCUCUUCCUGGGUUCACACUUCCAUCGUCUGGUGGAGAUGGGGCUUCCGGCACCAGCUUACUCAACAGCACCUGUCACCUGAAAGAGUCCUGACCAGCUGUGUCCCAUAACGUGCCUCUUCCUGGGUUCACAGUUCCAUUGUCUGGUGGAGAUGGGGCUUCCUGCACCAGGUUACUCAACAGCACCUGUCACCUGAAAUACUCCUGACCAGCUCUGUCCCAUAAUGGUAUGAUACAAUCCUCCUGUGACGCAUGGUGUCGUCACCACAUUAAAUAUAAAAAGAUAAGAAAAAUAAA